CGCGAUCUCUCCCUCGUCGCCAGGUGCCUCCGGCAACAAGGAUUUUGGGAGUACGCGAAAGAUUGCUCUCGGAGUUCCAGGCCUGGCAGACGAAAUACUCUUUUUGAAGAUGCCAGUUAACGGAGGCCUCAACGUAUGCGAUCGCUGACCUGAACAGCGGUUCCGGAAUAACGUGAGAAGUUUAGCACGUUACCAGAGCGGAGGUGUUGCAAGGAGAAAGCCAUGCGCCUGGCCCUCAUUCUUCUGACGCUCCUCCUAGCGACGGACGCUGUGUUGCUUCCCAUCACCAUCAAGAUUAUCGUUCCCAAAUUCAUAAAGCCCUUUCGUCUGGGAAUACCAUUAACGGCACUCUUCACCUUCAAGGCGGUCAAGUAU
This is a long non-coding RNA of Dermacentor andersoni, 375 nucleotides long. RefSeq lists it as uncharacterized. The record is from RefSeq and is a predicted model, not a curated record. Lineage: Eukaryota; Metazoa; Arthropoda; Arachnida; Ixodida; Ixodidae.